AUGCUUGUUUCAGCAGCAUGUAUACCAAAACUGGAAUGAUAAAAAGAUUAGCAUGGCCCCUGCACAAGGAUAACAUGCACAUUCAUGAAAAAUUCCAUGUUUUU
Molecule: small nuclear RNA, 104 nt
Organism: Sarcophilus harrisii (Tasmanian devil)
Lineage: Eukaryota; Metazoa; Chordata; Mammalia; Dasyuromorphia; Dasyuridae
Source: Ensembl